GGUGAUCCCGAGCAAUAUCAGCUGUACAUCCUUCGCAGCUAUACUCACUGGUCUUAGGAAACCUUUGGAAUCCUUGCCACUACACCGUUCACAUGAUGUGAGAUCAGCCAUAGCUUCAUUCAAGGAGACUUUCCCACGUUGCGCAAUUGCAGAGUCCUUGAUGUGCAAACAGACCUUGGUUGAU
Long non-coding RNA from Hippoglossus stenolepis (Pacific halibut), 184 nucleotides. RefSeq lists it as uncharacterized. The record is from RefSeq and is a predicted model, not a curated record. NCBI's taxonomy places the organism in Eukaryota, Metazoa, Chordata, Actinopteri, Pleuronectiformes, Pleuronectidae. The transcript has 4 exons.